RNAcentral lists this ribosomal RNA (468 nucleotides) under uncultured bacterium. Its description in RNAcentral is "partial 16S ribosomal RNA". It matches the Rfam family "Bacterial small subunit ribosomal RNA", at positions 28 to 507 of the family's 1533-position model. The record is from RNAcentral.
GACGAACGCUGGCGGCGUGCUUAACACAUGCAAGUCGAACGGAAAGGCCCUGCUCUUGUGGGGUGCACGAGUGGCGCACGGGUGAGUAACACGUGAGUAACCUGCCCUUGACUUUGGGAUAACUUCAGGAAACUGGGGCUAAUACCGGAUAGGAGCUCCUGCUGCAUGGUGGGGGUUGGAAAGUUUCGGCGGUUGGGGAUGGACUCGCGGCUUAUCAGCUUGUUGGUGGGGUAGUGGCUUACAAAGGCUUUGACGGGUAGCCGGCCUGAGAGGGUGACCGGCCACAUUGGGACUGAGAUACGGCCCAGACGCCUACGGGGGGCAGCAGUGGGGAAUAUUGCACAAUGGGCGGAAGCCUGAUGCAACAACGCCGCGUGCGGGAUGACGUCCUUCGGGUUGUAAACCGCUUUCGCCUGUGACGAAGCGUGAGUGACGGUAAUGGGUAAGGAAGCACCGGCUAACUACGUG